Molecule: small nuclear RNA, 106 nt
Organism: Nannospalax galili (Upper Galilee mountains blind mole rat)
Lineage: Eukaryota; Metazoa; Chordata; Mammalia; Rodentia; Spalacidae
Source: Ensembl
AUACUCACUUCAGCAGCAUGUACACUAAAAUUGGAGUGACACAGAGAAGUUUAGUAUGUCCCCAUGCAAGGAUGACAUGCAAAUUCAUGAAGUGUUCCAUAUUUUU